RNAcentral lists this unclassified non-coding RNA (214 nucleotides) under Hevea brasiliensis (rubber tree). The record is from RNAcentral. Lineage: Eukaryota; Viridiplantae; Streptophyta; Magnoliopsida; Malpighiales; Euphorbiaceae.
CGACUUUGAAUCAAAACCUCAAAUCCAAGUUCUAGAGAAUUUCGUAUUUGAAUCAAAACCGAAGAACUCGUUACUUGGUUGAGAGAAAAGUUGAGGUUUUGAAUCAAAUUCAAAACUGGAGGUUGAAUCACUGGAUUUUGCGGUAGUGAGAGGGAUGAUUUGAGGUUUAGCUUCGAAUUCAAAAAAAUCAUCAUCAAUAUUGUCAAAGUUAAAG